ACGCUGGCGGCAGGCCUAACACAUGCAAGUCGAGCGGUAGAGAGAAGCUUGCUUCUCUUGAGAGCGGCGGACGGGUGAGUAAUGCCUAGGAAUCUGCCUGGUAGUGGGGGAUAACGUCCGGAAACGGACGCUAAUACCGCAUACGUCCUACGGGAGAAAGCAGGGGACCUUCGGGCCUUGCGCUAUCAGAUGAGCCUAGGUCGGAUUAGCUAGUUGGUGGGGUAAUGGCUCACCAAGGCGACGAUCCGUAACUGGUCUGAGAGGAUGAUCAGUCACACUGGAACUGAGACACGGUCCAGACUCCUACGGGAGGCAGCAGUGGGGAAUAUUGGACAAUGGGCGAAAGCCUGAUCCAGCCAUGCCGCGUGUGUGAAGAAGGUCUUCGGAUUGUAAAGCACUUUAAGUUGGGAGGAAGGGCAGUUACCUAAUACGUGAUUGUUUUGACGUUACCGACAGAAUAAGCACCGGCUAACUCUGUCCCAGCAGCCGCGGUAAUACAGAGGGUGCAAGCGUUAAUCGGAAUUACUGGGCGUAAAGCGCGCGUAGGUGGUUCGUUAAGUUGGAUGUGAAAUCCCCGGGCUCAACCUGGGAACUGCAUUCAAAACUGACGAGCUAGAGUAUGGUAGAGGGUGGUGGAAUUUCCUGUGUAGCGGUGAAAUGCGUAGAUAUAGGAAGGAACACCAGUGGCGAAGGCGACCACCUGGACUGAUACUGACACUGAGGUGCGAAAGCGUGGGGAGCAAAC
Molecule: ribosomal RNA, 745 nt
Filed under: uncultured bacterium
Lineage: Bacteria
Description: bacterial SSU rRNA
Rfam family: Bacterial small subunit ribosomal RNA
Source: RNAcentral